UGAGGCAGGAGAAUUGCUUGAACCCAGGAGAUGGAGGUUGCAGUGAGCCGAGAUCGUGCCACUGCACUCCAGCCUGGGUGACAGAGUGAGACUCCGUCUC
Molecule: microRNA precursor, 100 nt
Filed under: Aotus nancymaae (Ma's night monkey)
Lineage: Eukaryota; Metazoa; Chordata; Mammalia; Primates; Aotidae
Description: miRNA (ENSANAG00000010499.1)
Source: RNAcentral